RNAcentral lists this ribosomal RNA (435 nucleotides) under uncultured bacterium. RNAcentral describes it as "bacterial SSU rRNA". It matches the Rfam family "Bacterial small subunit ribosomal RNA", at positions 29 to 507 of the family's 1533-position model. The record is from RNAcentral.
AACGAACGCUGGCGGCAGGCUUAAUACAUGCAAGUCAAACGGCUGUAGCAAUACAGCAGUGGCAAACGGGUGAGUAACACGUGGGAACCUACCUAGGGGUACGGAAUAACUCAGGGAAACUUGUGCUAAUACCGUAUACAACCUCAGGGUGAAAGAUUUAUCGCCCCUAGAUGGGCCCGCGUUGGAUUAGCUAGUUGGUGAGGUAAAAGCUCACCAAGGCGACAAUCCAUAGCUGGUCUGAAAGGAUGAUCAGCCACACUGGGACUGAAACACGGCCCAAACUCCUACGGGAGGCAGCAGUAGGGAAUCUUGGACAAUGGGCGAAAGCCUGAUCCAGCCAUGCCGCGUGUGUGAUGAAGGCCUUAGGGUUGUAAAGCACUUUCGCUAGGGAAAAUAAUGACGGUACCUAAAUAAAAAGCCCCGGCUAACUUCGUG